UGUGAACUGCAGGACACAUGAACACCGAUACGUUGAACGCAUAUUGCGCGUCGGACGAUUAAACCCGGCCGAUGCACACAUUCUUGAGUGCCUAUCAAUUCCUUAAUAUACAACAAACCAAACUUCAGGGUGGAGCGUGCCACAAUAGAACACUAUGGCGAGCACCCCGUCUAGUGUCGUGGGGGAAACACGCUUCCACACUGUGCAUAAUGGCGUGCUCGGAACCUAUCUUGGGACCGCAGGGCGCUGAAAGUAAAGGGGAUGAACCGCAUAAAUCGCACGCGCGCAAAUACACACACACACACAAGUAUAGUGUGAGGUAUCGUAAGAUACAGUGAGAGAGUAUGUUGUGAAACAUUGUGAAUUCAGUUGAAAACCUCUUUGAUGUCCAAGAUUUCGUUGACCGUAUCCGUCGUAAUACUGGAUCAACGUGCUUGGGGGGAAACAUCUUAGUGGUCAACCCGUGUGGAGUAUUAACCCACCGAUGUGUGCAGUGUUGUUGCUGAUAUCGGUUCGCUAUGCCCGAUGUUCGAUUCGAGUCGAAUGUGAGUUUGUGUAUGUGUCUCACGAGAUGUGAGACACCCCCUGAAUUUAAGCAUA
This 600-nucleotide ribosomal RNA is filed under the name Anopheles longipalpis. RNAcentral's name for it is "eukaryotic LSU rRNA". The stretch from base 1 to 93 matches the Rfam family "5.8S ribosomal RNA", at positions 66 to 154 of the family's 154-position model. The record is from RNAcentral. Lineage: Eukaryota; Metazoa; Arthropoda; Insecta; Diptera; Culicidae.